UUUUUUUUCUGAUAUAGGAUCUCGCUAUAUUUUUUUUAUAAAUGAACUUUAUCAUAUACUUAAAAGAAAAAUGAAAUACAAAAAUCGGGUCACCGUUUAUUUAAGCUCACAAUCUGACUCCGGAAGAAGCAUACAUUUUUGUUAAUGUCCUAUUUUUCUGUUGAGCUAAUAGGAGAAAUAGAGGUAAUAUCGAAAUAAAAAAAUAACGUAAUUACAGAAAUCGCUUAAAUUUUACAAUUAUUUAGUUUAUGUACAGCUUAUUUGAAAACAAUUAUAAAAAAUAUAGGUCACCGAUGAGUUAAAAAAGAUAUUUUAAAUUUAAUGCCAAAAAAUGGCAUUUUUGCAUCAAAGGGAGAUAAUUUGGAGCUUUUUCAAUGAUAUAAACAUUUUAAAAUUCAUCUUGG
Molecule: long non-coding RNA, 404 nt
Filed under: Mytilus galloprovincialis (Mediterranean mussel)
Lineage: Eukaryota; Metazoa; Mollusca; Bivalvia; Mytilida; Mytilidae
Source: RNAcentral